RNAcentral lists this ribosomal RNA (488 nucleotides) under uncultured bacterium. RNAcentral describes it as "bacterial SSU rRNA". It matches the Rfam family "Bacterial small subunit ribosomal RNA", at positions 28 to 507 of the family's 1533-position model. The record is from RNAcentral.
GAUGAACGCUAGCGAUAGGCCUAACACAUGCAAGUCGAGGGGCAUCACAUGAAGUAGCAAUACGGAUGGUGGCGACCGGCGCACGGGUGAGUAACACGUAUGCAACCUGCCUUCAACAAGGGGAUAACCCGUUGAAAGACGGACUAAUACCCUAUAACACAGGGGUCCCGCAUGGGAAUAUUUGUUAAAGGACAACCGGUUGAAGAUGGGCAUGCGUUCCAUUAGCUAGUUGGCGGGGUAACGGCCCACCAAGGCAACGAUGGAUAGGGGAACUGAGAGGUUUAUCCCCCACACUGGUACUGAGACACGGACCAGACUCCUACGGGAGGCAGCAGUGAGGAAUAUUGGUCAAUGGGCGAGAGCCUGAACCAGCCAAGUCGCGUGCAGGAAGAAUGUCCUAUGGAUUGUAAACUGCUUUUGCAGGGGAAUAAGUGAGCCACGUGUGGUUUUUGUAUGUACUCUGCGAAUAAGGAUCGGCUAACUCCGUG